This 88-nucleotide transfer RNA is filed under the name Bacteroidota bacterium. RNAcentral's name for it is "Bacteroidetes bacterium tRNA-Ser". It matches the Rfam family "tRNA". Rfam says of the family: Transfer RNA (tRNA) molecules are approximately 80 nucleotides in length. The record is from RNAcentral. Lineage: Bacteria; Pseudomonadati; Bacteroidota.
AGAGGGCUGGCGGAGUGGUCGAACGCGGCGGUCUUGAAAACCGUUGUACCGCGAGGUACCGGGGGUUCGAAUCCCUCGCCCUCUGCAA